GAUGAACGCUGGCGGCGUGCCUAAUACAUGCAAGUCGAGCGAACAGACGAGGAGCUUGCUCCUCUGACGUUAGCGGCGGACGGGUGAGUAACACGUGGAUAACCUACCUAUAAGACUGGGAUAACUUCGGGAAACCGGAGCUAAUACCGGAUAAUAUAUUGAACCGCAUGGUUCAAUAGUGAAAGACGGUUUUGCUGUCACUUAUAGAUGGAUCCGCGCCGCAUUAGCUAGUUGGUAAGGUAACGGCUUACCAAGGCAACGAUGCGUAGCCGACCUGAGAGGGGGAUCGGCCACACUGGAACUGAGACACGGUCCAGACUCCUAAGGGAGGCAGCAGGAGGGAAUCUUCCGCAAUGGGCGAAAGCCUGACGGAGCAACGGCGCGUGAGUGAUGAAGGUCUUCGGAUCGUAAAACUCUGUUAUUAGGGAAGAACAAAUGUGUAAGUAACUAUGCACGUCUUGACGGUACCUAAUCAGAAAGCCACGGCUAACUACGUG
This 497-nucleotide ribosomal RNA is filed under the name uncultured bacterium. RNAcentral's name for it is "partial 16S ribosomal RNA". It matches the Rfam family "Bacterial small subunit ribosomal RNA", at positions 28 to 507 of the family's 1533-position model. The record is from RNAcentral.